AUACUGCAUACACACAAAUUUUCAGUGGGAAAUUCUGAAGGCAGAGCCACUAGUAUCAAAGGUUAUGACACUGGUAAGGGUUGGGUAAUGACUGGCUUAGAGAAUGUCACAAUGCCAGCAGAGAAAGGGAAAACACAAAGACUAAGGAGUCUCAAGACCACAGGACAGUUCAGUAUCAACAUCAUCUUCAACAUAGCUGCCAUUUAUUAAGCACUUUACACACAUUACCUCUCAUCCUUACAGCAACUUAAAGGCAGGUACUACUAUCUGAAUUUACAGGAACAGCAGCUGAGGCUCUGAGGGCCUCAAUAACUUGCCCAAGACUACACAGAGAACUAUCGUUUGCUCCCUGACUACUGCUUUUCAAGUACUUGAUUGACCCUGUUGUGAAAAGCCCUGGUAACACAGGUGAUACUGAAAAUGUUGAUGACUCUUCACUAUGCUGUGUUCGAUUCCGCAUGGGAUAGCCUAACUUCUGUCAGCCCAAGGUCUUAAAGAAAUAAAACUAAUGACAAAGAAUA
Panthera uncia (snow leopard) is the source of this 521-nucleotide long non-coding RNA. RefSeq lists it as uncharacterized. The record is from RefSeq and is a predicted model, not a curated record. The transcript has 2 exons. Lineage: Eukaryota; Metazoa; Chordata; Mammalia; Carnivora; Felidae.